Long non-coding RNA from Portunus trituberculatus (swimming crab), 1217 nucleotides. RefSeq lists it as uncharacterized. The record is from RefSeq and is a predicted model, not a curated record. NCBI's taxonomy places the organism in Eukaryota, Metazoa, Arthropoda, Malacostraca, Decapoda, Portunidae. The transcript has 2 exons.
GUCUGACUGCCGAUACCGACGACCUCGGUCUACUCUGCCACGCCUCACCAGUAAAGGAUGGUGUUUUAUCCUGGAAGAGAAACGUGUCUGUACGAGCGCCUGUCAUUUCUGUGGCAGUGGUGUGCGGGCUUGUCUCUAAGGUCAAUCGCUCGGCGGUCUGGCAGGAGUCCAGACACGGUGCGCCGGUGGUUGCGGUGGUGGGAGCGUUGCGGGCGCCUGCUGAGGCCAGUAGGUAGCCAUAAGCACCGCUAUUCUCCCCGCUCUGCAAAAAAUGGAGGCAGGGACAUCUUGUACAGCGAGAAGGGCGCUACGCUCUCCACGCCACACCGGCAGCCGUACACGUGCCUGCUGUGUUACAGAGAUCCUCACUGAUUGUCGCUUAUGUCCUGGCUGUGUGGCGGAAUUCAUGUCCAAAAUCUAAUGCCUUUAGAACUCAAGCAGUAACAAGGAACAAUGAUAUUUUUUUCGUCCUCGAUUUUUUUUUAUCAAAUUUCGUUUGAGACGCGAAACACUAGAGGCAUUUAUUCUAUAAUUGAUUUCCAUUGUCAUCUGAGCAUUCUCAGCAAAGAAAAUAUUAUUUCCUUGAUUAUUUACCUAUUUGUUUUUUCAAUGAAUGACAUGAAAGUGUGAAUGUAAUUUCCAGCUUAUACUUGUGAAAGAAUUUUUUUAAAGAACGCAAAAUAGGCAAACGAGCCAUGUUGUUUUUAUCUGAGUUAGUUAAACCACUUAAUAAGUAUAGUCUAGAAUUUAAGAUCUUUCCAUUAUUCAAAUAAAUUAAUGGCGUGUCUCUUUUGCUCAGAUCAAGUUGAAGAAGACAUGGUUCCCUUGUGUAGAACGCAGAAUUAUUCAUAUACGUAGAUUGUCUGAUGAGAAAGCCAUUAUGCAAUUCGUAAGGAUAACGACAAUAGAAGACAUACUGUGUACAGGAACCUUGUGAAUCAGUUAAUGAAAUGAAAGGAGUAAUGGGAGUUGUGCCGUUCCCUGACUGUGCAAGGUGUUCAUAGAAUAGGGAAGCAUUUAGUUUCAGUAUGUUAAUAGUAUUCUGUGUCGAUUUUGUUGCUGUUGUUGUCUUUAGAUUACUUUCUUUCGAUUUAUUGCCACGAGAGCAUAAUACAAGAAGAGAUUAUCAGAACGGAGUGUUUUAUAUGUAUACAGAAAAACUUAGGAAACAAAUUUUCUUCAACGAAUGUUUCCAAUAAAUAUACUACUUGAUUUAA